AACGAACGCUGGCGGCAUGCCUAACACAUGCAAGUCGAACGAGAACUUCGGGUCUAGUGGCGCACGGGUGCGUAACGCGUGGGAACCUGCCCCUAGGUUCGGAAUAACUCCCCGAAAGGGGUGCUAAUACCGGAUAAUGUCUUCGGACCAAAGAUUUAUCGCCUUUGGAUGGGCCCGCGUUUGAUUAGCUAGUUGGUAGGGUAAAAGCCUACCCAGGCGACGAUCCAUAGCUGGUCUGAGAGGAUGAUCAGCCACACUGGGACGGAGACACGGCCCAGACUCCUACGGGAGGCAGCAGUGGGGAAUAUUGGACAAUGGGCGAAAGCCUGAUCCAGCAAUGCCGCGUGAGUGAUGAAGGCCUUAGGGUUGUAAAGCUCUUUUACCCGGGAUGAUAAUGACAGUACCGGGAGAAUAAGCUCCGGCUAACUCCGUG
RNAcentral lists this ribosomal RNA (433 nucleotides) under uncultured bacterium. RNAcentral describes it as "partial 16S ribosomal RNA". It matches the Rfam family "Bacterial small subunit ribosomal RNA", at positions 29 to 507 of the family's 1533-position model. The record is from RNAcentral.